CAAUAGCGUAUAUUUAAGUUGCUGCAGUUAAAAAGCUCGUAGUUGGAUUUCGGGUGGGAAUGGCCGGUCCGCCGUUUCGGUGUGCACUUGCUACGCCCACCUUGCUGCCGGGGACGUGCUCUUGAGUUCACGCUCGGGACACGGAGUCGGCGAGGUUACUUUGAGUAAAUUAGAGUGUUCAAAGCAGGCCUACGCUCUGAAUACAUUAGCAUGGAAUAACACGAUAGGACUCUGGCCUAUCUUGUUGGUCUGUAGGACCGGAGUAAUGAUUAAGAGGGACAGUCGGGGGCAUUCGUAUUUCAUUGUCAGAGGUGAAAUUCUUGGAUUUAUGAAAUACGAACUACUGCGAAAGCAUUUGCCAAGGAUGUUUUCAUUAA
This 377-nucleotide ribosomal RNA is filed under the name uncultured eukaryote. RNAcentral describes it as "partial 18S ribosomal RNA". It matches the Rfam family "Eukaryotic small subunit ribosomal RNA", at positions 592 to 976 of the family's 1831-position model. The record is from RNAcentral.